UACCAGCACCCCGAGUGGUCGGGACGUUUAUUGGGCCUAAAGCAUCCGUAGCCGGUUCUACAAGUCUUCCGUUAAAUCCACCUGCUUAACGGAUGGGCUGCGGAGGAUACCGCAGAGCUAGGAGGCGGGAGAGGCAAACGGUACUCAGUGGGUAGGGGUAAAAUCCUUUGAUCUACUGAAGACCACCAGUGGCGAAGGCGGUUUGCCAGAACGCGCUCGACGGUGAGGGAUGAAAGCUGGGGGAGCAAACCGG
This 253-nucleotide ribosomal RNA is filed under the name uncultured bacterium. RNAcentral's name for it is "partial 16S ribosomal RNA". It matches the Rfam family "Archaeal small subunit ribosomal RNA", at positions 474 to 727 of the family's 1478-position model. The record is from RNAcentral.